This 253-nucleotide ribosomal RNA is filed under the name uncultured bacterium. RNAcentral describes it as "partial 16S ribosomal RNA". It matches the Rfam family "Bacterial small subunit ribosomal RNA", at positions 524 to 776 of the family's 1533-position model. The record is from RNAcentral.
UACGUAGGGGGCUAGCGUUGUCCGGAAUCAUUGGGCGUAAAGCGCGUGUAGGCGGUCCGGUAAGUCUGCUGUUAAAGAGUGAGGCUCAACCUCAUAAAGGCAGUGGAAACUACAUGGCUAGAGUGCGUUCGGGGCAGAGGGAAUUCCUGGUGUAGCGGUGAAAUGCGUAGAGAUCAGGAAGAACACCGGUGGCGAAAGCGCUCUGCUGGGCCGCAACUGACACUGAGGGACGAAAGCUAGGGGAGCGAAUGGG